RNAcentral lists this non-coding RNA (148 nucleotides) under bovine gut metagenome. The record is from RNAcentral.
GGAACUUAGAAGUUCUUGAUGUUCUGUGGAUAUUCAGCAAUGUUUGAACACGAUGUUCAAACAAGCCGCCACUGAGCCAUGGAUGGCGAAUUGGCGGCGGUUGCGUCAGGAAUGAAAAAGUAAAUCAGAACAUCUAGCACUUCUUAGU